This 378-nucleotide long non-coding RNA is filed under the name Equus asinus (donkey). RNAcentral's name for it is "lncRNA (ENSEASG00005036589.1)". The record is from RNAcentral. Lineage: Eukaryota; Metazoa; Chordata; Mammalia; Perissodactyla; Equidae.
CGGAAGGAGAAGAGAGAGACAAAGGGGCAGAAAAUUUAUGUGAAGAAAUAAUAGAUGAAAAUUUUCCUAAUCUGAGGCAGGAAACAGACAUCCAAGUUCAGGAAGCACAGAGAGCUCCAAACAAGAAAAUGGUAUUUACAAAAGCAUUUCAAUUUGAAGUGUCAAUCAAAGUAUAUGCAGGCAAAACUGUAAGGAAAAAGUAUUAUAGAGAUGUGAAAACAGGAGCAAAGAAAAUUGGAGCAACACGCCUGAAGCUACACAGUUGCAGAGGCAGGAUUUCAACAAAUAUCAAAACUAUGAAAAGGCUCCACAUGGUGACAAGAAGGCUGCCUUCAACAUCAAGCCUAUAUCCUCCUAUACUCAAACCCAGUAGAAAAA